GGCGGGGGCUGUCGUAUUUGAUGAAUGGGCAACCGGAGCUCGCUCUCCGGGAUGCCAUGCAAGCCCAGGUAUGCAUGCCCGAGUGGCCGACUGCUUUCUACCUGCAAGCUCUCGCCCUAUCAAAACUUGGAAUGGAAACCGAUGCCCAGGAUAUGCUUAACGACGGGGCUGCCUUUGAAGUGAAGAAGCAGAACAGUUGGCGUGGCUAAAAUUUUACCAGAUUUCAGUUACUGUAUGUC
Molecule: unclassified non-coding RNA, 239 nt
Filed under: Hevea brasiliensis (rubber tree)
Lineage: Eukaryota; Viridiplantae; Streptophyta; Magnoliopsida; Malpighiales; Euphorbiaceae
Source: RNAcentral